This 66-nucleotide transfer RNA is filed under the name Hungatella hathewayi WAL-18680. RNAcentral describes it as "Clostridium hathewayi WAL-18680 tRNA". It matches the Rfam family "tRNA". From Rfam's summary of the family: Transfer RNA (tRNA) molecules are approximately 80 nucleotides in length. Their secondary structure includes four short double-helical elements and three loops (D, anti-codon, and T loops). Further hydrogen bonds mediate the characteristic L-shaped molecular structure. tRNAs have two regions of fundamental functional importance: the anti-codon, which is responsible for specific mRNA codon recognition, and the 3' end, to which the tRNAs corresponding amino acid is attached (by aminoacyl-tRNA synthetases). tRNAs cope with the degeneracy of the genetic code in two manners: having more than one tRNA (with a specific anti-codon) for a particular amino acid; and 'wobble' base-pairing, i.e. permitting non-standard base-pairing at the 3rd anti-codon position. The record is from Rfam by way of RNAcentral. Lineage: Bacteria; Bacillati; Bacillota; Clostridia; Lachnospirales; Lachnospiraceae.
AGGUAGUAGGUUUUAAAACAACGGUCUACUAAACCGUAUGUGGAGGUUCGAAUCCCCCACCCCCUU